GUCAGGUGGCACAGAGGGAAGAGCAGGUCCUCCGUCUGAGGGCUCAGGUUGUAGCUCUGCAGGGGGAUCUGCAGGUACACUGCACCCAGCUGGAGAGUGGAGACGAUGCCCUCGCCGCUCUGAGCCAACAGCUCCGAGACACGCUGGGAGAGCUGGAGCACAGCUGUAAACACAGCCGUGAGUGUGAGCUGCUCAUCAGCACUCUCAGAGACACCGCUGCUACCCUUCGCCGACAGGCUGAAGAGCAAGAAGAGAUGGCAGUGAAGACACAGGCUGAUUUCUCCAUCAACCAGGCCACUCACGUUCACUCCGACUCAGACUACGAAUCCCAGCUGUCCCGUGUUCAGGAACUGGAGCAUGCGCUGGAACGCUGCGGUCAGAGCGCCCA
This 388-nucleotide long non-coding RNA is filed under the name Sinocyclocheilus grahami. RNAcentral's name for it is "lncRNA (ENSSGRG00000032710.1)". The record is from RNAcentral. Lineage: Eukaryota; Metazoa; Chordata; Actinopteri; Cypriniformes; Cyprinidae.